GUUAAAAAUGCUUGUUGAAUAUAUAUAAUUCACUGGCCUUCAUAGCAUAUGAUAUUACACGAGGUGUUAUUAUAUAUCAUAAACAACAUGGAUAUUUAUUUGAAAUAUUGCGAUCGAACAAGAAAUCCUAAGUUAUAUAAAACCUAAUGUAAAAAGUAAUAGAUAAGUAUAGAAAUGCUUAAAAAUUAAAAAAGAAAAUAAUUAAGAAAAUUAAGAACAUACAUUAAACAAAGAUAAUAAUAGAUUAAAAAAAAAAUAAAAAAGAAAAUACACUGUAAUAUAUAUAAUAUAUAAUAAAAUUGAAUAUAAUAUAUGCGUAAGUGUUCAAUUAUUUUAAAACACGCUCGCGACUCGUCGCAUUAACGAUGGACUUACAAUGUCGGGCAUUGAAUUAAAAAGAAUUAUCCAGUAAUUAGUGUAAUUCCAGUAAUUAGUGUAAACCAUUUAAUUACAAUUAAUAUAAUUUCAAUAACGAUUGAAAAGUUAUAUAGAACAGAAACAACACCUCGUGCGAUAGUGAAGAAAGAGGGAAAUAAAAAGAAAACAACGAACAAAAUGUCAGACGAAAAUAAAAGUUUUUGUCGUUUAUAUUUGCAAGUCGAUCAGAAGAAUUAGAAAUAAUAGUCGUCAAGACAAAAGACGUCGAAAUGGAAUAGUCUGCGGGAUACAAGUCCGAGAAAUCAUUAGUCGACAAUUUCGAAAAAUUCAGGCGUAUUCAAAAAUUUAACGAUUGCCCAGUCAUUCUUCCAAUUAGUGGAAUUGGAGUUGUGAUUAAAUUAUUUUUGAUCGAUAAAAUGUUGGGUAGUUGCUAGGAUGGAUUCAUAUUUAGAAACGACAAAAAAAAUUGAAGGAUGUUUUUUAUCCUAAGGAUAAAUUAAUCGAGCAUUCGUUGAGCAUUUUCAAUAUACCAAAAUGGCAGAGUUUUUUAAACUUUCACUUGCAUAGAUAAUGUAUAUUUUUCUAAGCCCAAUACAUUGGACUAAUUGAAUUGCAAAUUGAAUUAAACAUUCUUCAUGAAAUAACUUGUCAUUCUCUAUAUAGUAAGAAAUGAAUGAAAGACUGAAAUGUACAAUAAAUAGGAAUAAUCAUAGCAACAUAUAAUUUACUCCUAAUAUAAAAUUAGACAAUAGAUACUUCUUAUUAAGAGAAAUCCUUUUUAGUUUCUGUUAUUAUCUGUAAUACAUUCCAAUUAUAAAGUGAUUGUUCAUCGCCUUUGUACAAAGCAAACUCAGUUGGCAUGUAUUUACCGAUCCUUUAUUCGGUUAAAAUUUAACCCGAAUUAUAAAAUAUCAUUGCGUAUGAAAAUGAUGCUCUCAUAGACUAGAAUAAAAGAUAAUGAUUAAUAAAAAAAUUUGUUCAUUAUCAUAUUCCAUAUCAUUAGAAUAUAUUUUACCGUAGCAAAAAGAUCAUGGGAUAGUACAAUCAUUCUUUUAACAGAAAGAUUACAUGGCAUCAUGCUCUUCAUUAUCAAGAAUAGUAACAUUUUUUGUGUUUUCAAUGAUAAUAAAUAAAAGGGAAUUUGGCAUCUGUAAAGAUUAAUUCAUCAGUAAUAUCCGAUUGAAUUAAUGAUCUAAUUAAAAUAUGCUUUGCAUAAUACCAACAAUUUUAUAUAUAUUUCGGUGUGAUGAUCUAUUAAUUUUUGUCCAAGGUAAUGAUAAACAUAUAUUACAAACAUAGAUCCAAAGAUAUAAUUAGCCUUUUGUAAUAUGUCGCUCAUAUUAACCGUAAAAGAAAGUAUUUGAAAUAACUAAAAAAAAUAGUCCGUGAACAUUCAAUAUCACAAUAAAAGAUAUAUUAAAAUCAGAAUAAUUUCUUCUUUCUUUUCACUUUUUUUUAAAACGAAAAAUAACGUUACUUACGUAAAUAUAAUUUAUGAUAAUAAAUAAUACCAUGAAAAAUAUCUCGGUCAUAUAAAUUCUCUCAUGAAACUGCUUUAUUAAAUCAACGAAACUUGAAGAACGAAAAGAAAUACAAACAAAACAAAAAAUAAAGAAAAAAGAUAUAUAAUAAUAUUAUUCAAAAUUAUUAUCUGAGCGGAUAAAUAGUAUUAAGUACAAUUUUGUAAAAUUAUAUACGAACUAAAUGGCAUUAUCAUAGUAUUCUAUGAUGUCGAUGAUCGACUUAUAUUCUUUGUCAUAAUUGCCUGCAUGAUAGAAAUUAUGCGAAUUCUUUUUAUAUUCUUCCUCUAUCUUCCAUCUGCAUGAAAAAAAUACAAUGUAAGUUAUAAUAUAAAAGAAAAGAAAUCUUUAUGAUCGAAAAAUAUUUUCUAUUGUUUAUCAAAAGAUAUUUAUAUACAUUUCAUAAUAUAUCGUCCGAAAGGAUUACUUACGCAACGAUAUUGAACAGAGCGCAGGCAUGCUGGACAAAUGAUACAAAUAUGGAAAAGUGUGUUAUUCCUAUCGUACUUAAGACCAUUAGGAUUGCAUAUUCGUUAAACAGAGCGAAAUAGUAAUGCACUUGAUCUUGCAAAAAGUACUGAAUAGAAACUGGUAAUACUAAUUCAGUUACAUCCAGUCCACCAAAAAUAUUCGAAAUAACACGUAUCAUGGAUGGAAACAUUAAAAUCACAAUAUACAAAUAAAAGGCAACUGAAAUAAUAAAACGUUAUCUUAAUUUAAUUCUGAUAAUCUUAUAUAGUCACUUCAGUAAUGUAGUUUAUCAUUAUUUUCGUGUUUUUUUACUUGCUAUUAUUAUUGUACAUUGUCUGCUACGAUUAGAAUAAUUUUUUAAUAUCAUUAAUUCAGGCUUGGAUGUCAUACUAUUCCAAUCGGUUUUUAUACGAAGCAGAAGUUUCUUUAUCUGAAAGUAUUAAUAUAUAUUCUAUUCUUGUUUGUUUAACAAUUUAUGAUUUAAAUGAAAUAUUUAUAAAAUACAAACGACUGUAACUUUCGACAAUAAAUUGUAAUAACACAAUGUGAAGCUUAGAGAAGGCAAAGUCGUUUCCAAUAUUUUCAUAAUAGGAUCUACUUUCAUCUCUGAUGUGAAAAGCAGAAAAAGCUGAAGCAUAAGCAGAUGUUAUUUAUAUUUUAAUAAUCAGUGUUGUAAACUGAACUUAUUUUCAAGUUAACUCGUUCUUAUCACAUGUUAGUAUAAUUAUGUAUCAGAAUGAGAUUUACAUGUAAAGAUGAUGAUACUGCUAUUAUAAAAUUGAAUAAACAAACGUGAAUCAUAUUACACGACGAUGUUUCAUAAGGCGAAAUGCCAACUAAUUUUAAGAAUCGAAUAUUGUAAUUAUAGUACUCGUUUUCCAAAUACAGCUCGUCUUGCACAAUCAUCCUAAUAACUCCUAUGACUUAUUGACUUCGACUGAAUUCAUCCCUACGCCGUUUUUUACAUCAAGAAUUCUAAGUACCCUUUUAAAUAUAUGUUUUAAAUGAUAAAGUAGUAAUAGUACUUUUCUCUAAAUUGUAUCGACUGGUAGAAAGUUUUUCUUUCAUAAAAAAAAUUCAUAUAAUGUCUAUAGCUUGUUAUACGUUUCUCUCAUUUUAAUCCAAUUAUACGUGUAUAACUAAACAGAUGUUUCUUUCUAGCUAUUAAGUUAUUAUUUGUCAUUUGCUCCUUACAUGGUCGAUAAUUUUUUCCCUUCCACGAUAGACAUGCGCAUUGCGUCCACAGGCACUUCCCCUUUUCAUUCUCUUGCAGUAUGAUUUUACUUCUCGAAGGAAAGACAUCUGAGUGCUUGAUGUGUUACCAUAAUAUUAUUCUUAUUUACUUAUUGUUAAUUGAGUAUAUAAUAAAUGAUUCCUCGUGAACGUGGCAAUUAUAGACUUCUUAAUAUCAAGUAAUAUUGCUAAUAUUAACGACGGCAUUAUAAUCGGUACAAGUAGAAUAACGAAAGAAUUUGUUUACACGUAACCUCUGCAGCGAAAUGUCAAUCUCAGGACAAAACUCCAACAUUACGGAUGUACAAUAAACAGGCGUAACAGCUAGCAGGAAUACAUUUUACAUAAUUAAAAUCGAUCGUGAUUUUGUAAUUGUUCGAAUAUAAAGAUAAAGAUAAAAGAAAAAAAAAGAAAAAAAAAAAUAUCAAAGACAUCAUGAGAUUAGAAAAUCUAUGAAAUAUAAUACAAAUUUUUCGAUUAUAAUCUACAACGUGGAUCCUUACGUUGAUUUAAUAAAAUUGUCAAUUUAAUUAUCGAGAUAAAAUGAAGGUAUACGUGUGAAAAAGAUAAAAAAAGAAAAAUACAGUUCAGAACGAUCAAAAUCAACGAUUAAAAUGAAAAUAUAUAAAGAAGAUCUCUACGUUUAUGUAUAACGUUUAUGUUUUUAAAUCGAUUUAAUUUCUAUUUUGAAAUGAUAGAAGUCCUGUUAAAAACUGACGGAGAAUAAGUGACCGUCAUGGAAAACGAUACGAGAAUUUAUUAACAUCAAAAAAAUAUAUACUUAUCGAUAUGUAAUCGAUCAGUCAGGAACUUCGAUCGGGUUCAGGCAUCAUUUUAAAAAUUUUACCAUAAUCGAAGAAUAUUUACGAUCAAUGGAAGGAAAUCAUUGAUGAAAUUAUUUGUCAUUGAGAAAUUGUUAAGAUGAUAACUCGGCAUUAGUUGCAUUUAUCUUUUGAUACAUUCGAAAAGAAAAGAAAGGGAAUAUUUAAAUGCACCGAGUAUCGACGAUUUGGUAAGUUUCUUCUUUUUUUUUUUUCUUUUUUCUUCUCUCUUUUUUCUUUUUUAAUUCUGAUAUAAUUUCUAUAUUUUAUUUUCUUAUUUUCAUUCAACUCUGAAAUACUUUGUUUUCACUUGUCACUUUGUUUCUAUUGAUUACUUCACUUUAAAUGAUAUUCAUUAUAUAGGAUUAAUUUUUUAGACAAUGAUUUGCCUAAUAAUAAUUUAUUUAUCAUAAGUAUGAUUAAUUUCAUACGAAAGACACGUUUGAUACAGGUUUUACGCAGAUACAGCUUUUAACGCGGUAUAAUAAUCAAUAAAUAAUAGAACAUUCGAAUAUACACUUUAAGUAACGUGUAUACUUAUUCUGAAAAAUUUAUUGGACAGAAAUCGAGAUCGAGACAAAAGGGAUCGAUACAUCAUCUUGCAAUGAAUGAAAUGAAUUUAGCGUUCAAAUUUAAAUAUAUCCAAUAUAAUUGAUGAUCCAUUUCUUUCUGUUUUUUUUUUUUUUUUUUUUUUUUUUUUUUAUAACUUCAAUACAUCGUAAAGUUAAUCAACAUGGAGAGAAAUAUAUUUGUAAAAAUUAUAUACCUAUGUAGAAAUUAUAAUAUUAUAAUAUUAUUAUUUAUUAACAACAAUAUAAUAUUAUUAUUUAUUUAUUAAAAACAAUUUACGGACCGACUUCUUUUUCUUUCUUUUUUUUUUUCUUUUUUUUUUUUAAUCUUUAUAUUCAUUCAAAUGAUUACUACGAUCACGAUCGAUUCUGAUUGUCUAAAAUAAAAUCAUACAUACUGGUUAAUACGUAUAAUUUUCAAAAGUUGAAUACUGUAAAUAAAAAAUAAUAUUGCAUUUCGAUAUCGUGUUUAGGAAUUUAAAAAAAUAUUAUAUCAAUAUUCAUUAUUAUUAAUAUUAUAUUAAUUAUGUUAUAUUAAAAAUUAUAUUAAUAUUAUUAAUAUAUUCGUUGUUUGGAAUUAAAAGAGAGAGAAAAAAAAUGAAGUUUGAUGAAAACUAUUGAAAUUGCUAUAGUUUCUUAAAUUCAUAUAAAUAUUAUUUAU
Molecule: RNA transcript, 5653 nt
Organism: Vespa crabro (European hornet)
Lineage: Eukaryota; Metazoa; Arthropoda; Insecta; Hymenoptera; Vespidae
Exons: 3
Source: RefSeq, a predicted model, not a curated record